AAAGUUUGACAGACAAUCGCCGGCAGUGUGUAAGACACUGCGGGAGGAAAGUCCGGGCUCCAUAGGGCAGGAUGCUGGAUAACGUCCAGUCAGCGCGAGUUGAAGGAUAGUGCCACAGAAAUGGACCGCCGAUGGCCGUGUAAACGGAUCAGGCAAGGAUGGAACCGAGGUGUAAGAGACCCCGAGGAACGCUGGUGACUUCGUUCCUGGUAAACCCCAUCUGGAGCAAGACCUAAUGGAACGCAGCUUCUCUGCAAAGAGUAGCAGCCUUAGCCCGAGGCGCGUUUAGGUUGGUCGCUGGAGCCAUGCAGCAAUGUAUGGCCUAGAUAGAUGAUUGUCGCUUGCUGUGGGAGGGUAGUUCCCGUCUGUACCACGAAGAGCACAGAACCCGGCUUACGUAAAACUUUCCUA
This 411-nucleotide RNase P RNA is filed under the name Paenibacillus pini JCM 16418. RNAcentral's name for it is "Bacterial RNase P class A". It matches the Rfam family "Bacterial RNase P class A". From Rfam's summary of the family: Ribonuclease P (RNase P) is a ubiquitous endoribonuclease, found in archaea, bacteria and eukarya as well as chloroplasts and mitochondria. Its best characterised activity is the generation of mature 5'-ends of tRNAs by cleaving the 5'-leader elements of precursor-tRNAs. The record is from Rfam by way of RNAcentral. Lineage: Bacteria; Bacillati; Bacillota; Bacilli; Caryophanales; Paenibacillaceae.